RNAcentral lists this ribosomal RNA (373 nucleotides) under uncultured organism. RNAcentral describes it as "partial 16S ribosomal RNA". It matches the Rfam family "Bacterial small subunit ribosomal RNA", at positions 527 to 896 of the family's 1533-position model. The record is from RNAcentral.
GUAGGUGGCAAGCGUUGUCCGGAAUUAUUGGGCGUAAAGCGCGCGCAGGCGGUCCUUUAAGUCUGAUGUGAAAGCCCACGGCUCAACCGUGGAGGGUCAUUGGAAACUGGGGGACUUGAGUACAGAAGAGGAAAGCGGAAUUCCAAGUGUAGCGGUGAAAUGCGUAGAGAUUAGGAGGAACACCAGUGGCGAAGGCGGCUUUCUGGUCUGUAACUGACGCUGAGGCGCGAAAGCGUGGGGAGCAAACAGGGAUUAGAUACCCUGGUAGUCCACGCCGUAAACGAUGAGUGCUAAGUGUUAGGGGGUUUCCCGCCCCUUAGUGCUGCAGCUAACGCAUUAAGCACUCCGCCUGGGGAGUACGGCCGCAAGGCUG